This 68-nucleotide transfer RNA is filed under the name Bathyomphalus contortus. RNAcentral describes it as "tRNA-Leu". Lineage: Eukaryota; Metazoa; Mollusca; Gastropoda; Planorbidae. The record is from RNAcentral.
UUUAAAAUGGCAGAUUAUGCGUAGAUUUUAAGCGUCUAUUAUGAGAAACUUUCUUUUUUUUUCUAGGU